AACGGCCGUACCAUGCUGAAUAUACCGGUUCUCGUUAGAUCACCGAAGUUAAGCAUCGUUGGGCGCGGUCAGUACUUGGGUGGGUGACCACCUGGGAACCCUGCGUGCCGUU
RNAcentral lists this ribosomal RNA (112 nucleotides) under Caerostris darwini. Lineage: Eukaryota; Metazoa; Arthropoda; Arachnida; Araneae; Araneidae. The record is from RNAcentral.